RNAcentral lists this ribosomal RNA (435 nucleotides) under uncultured bacterium. RNAcentral's name for it is "partial 16S ribosomal RNA". It matches the Rfam family "Bacterial small subunit ribosomal RNA", at positions 28 to 507 of the family's 1533-position model. The record is from RNAcentral.
GAUGAACGCUGGCGGUAUGCUUAACACAUGCAAGUCGAACGGACUCUUCGGAGUUAGUGGCGGACGGGUGAGUAACGCGUGAGAAUCUGGCUUUGGGUUCGGGACAACCACUGGAAACGGUGGCUAAUACCGGAUGUGCCGAGAGGUAAAAGAGAAAUUGCCUGAAGAUGAGCUCGCGUCUGAUUAGCUAGUUGGUGAGGUAAAGGCUCACCAAGGCAGCGAUCAGUAGCUGGUCUGAGAGGAUGACCGGCCACACUGGGACUGAGACACGGCCCAGACGCCUACGGGAGGCAGCAGUGGGGAAUUUUCCGCAAUGGGCGAAAGCCUGACGGAGCAAUACCGCGUGAGGGAAGAAGGCUCUUGGGUUGUAAACCUCUUUUCUUAGGGAAGAACAAAAUGACGGUACCUAAGGAAUCAGCAUCGGCUAACUCCGUG